AAGUCGUAACAAGGUUUCCGUAGGUGAACCUGCGGAAGGAUCAUUAAAAAAAAGAGAAACGUCCCGUUUUUUUCAUAAGAAUGGGUUCUAUUCCCUUAAACCGUGUCUACAUACCUUUGUUGCUUUGGCAGGCCGCCUUCGGGCGUCGGCUCCGGCUGAUAGUGCCUGCCAGAGGACCCAAACUCUAUGUUUAGUGAUGUCUGAGUACUAUAUAAUAUUUAAAACUUUCAACAACGGAUCUCUUGGUUCUGGCAUCGAUGAAGAACGCAGCGAAAUGCGAUAAGUAAUGUGAAUUGCAGAAUUCAGUGAAUCAUCGAAUCUUUGAACGCACAUUGCGCCCCUUGGUAUUCCGAGGGGCAUGCCUGUUCGAGCGUCAUUAUAACCACUCAAGCCUGGCUUGGUAUUGGGGUUUUCGCGUGUUCGCGGCCCUUAAAAUCAGUGGCGGUGCCGUCUGGCUCUAAGCGUAGUAAUUUCUCUCGCUAUAGGGUUCCGGUGGUUACUUGCCAAAACCCCCCAUUUUUUCUAGGUUGACCUCGGAUCAGGUAGGGAUACCCGCUGAACUUAAGCAUAUCAAUAAGCGGAGGAAAAGAAACCAACAGGGAUUGCCUCAGUAACGGCGAGUGAAGCGGCAACAGCUCAAAUUUGAAAUCUGGCUCUUUCAGGGUCCGAGUUGUAAUUUGUAGAAGAUGCGUUGGGUGUGGCUCCGGUCUAAGUUCCUUGGAACAGGACGUCAUAGAGGGUGAGAAUCCCGUACGUGACUGGUUGCCUCCGCCCGUGUAAAGCUCUUUCGACGAGUCGAGUUGUUUGGGAAUGCAGCUCAAAAUGGGUGGUAAAUUUCAUCUAAAGCUAAAUAUUGGCCAGAGACCGAUAGCGCACAAGUAGAGUGAUCGAAAGAUGAAAAGCACUUUGGAAAGAGAGUUAAACAGUACGUGAAAUUGUUGAAAGGGAAGCGCUUGCAACCAGACUUGCAUGCGGUUGAUCAUCCGAGCUUCUGCCCGGUGCACUCGAUCGUAUUCAGGCCAGCAUCGGUUUUGGUGGGCGGAUAAAGGCCUUGGGAAUGUAGCUUNCUUCGGGGAGUGUUAUAGCCCUCGGUGCAAUGCGCCCUACCGGGACCGAGGACCGCGCUUCGGCUAGGAUGCUGGCGUAAUGGUUGUAAGCGACC
RNAcentral lists this ribosomal RNA (1162 nucleotides) under uncultured fungus. Its description in RNAcentral is "eukaryotic LSU rRNA". The stretch from base 529 to 1162 matches the Rfam family "Eukaryotic large subunit ribosomal RNA", at positions 1 to 649 of the family's 3401-position model. Lineage: Eukaryota; Fungi. The record is from RNAcentral.